Molecule: long non-coding RNA, 1299 nt
Organism: Bactrocera neohumeralis
Lineage: Eukaryota; Metazoa; Arthropoda; Insecta; Diptera; Tephritidae
Exons: 4
Source: RefSeq, a predicted model, not a curated record
UGUGGACACGUGAGCUGUAAGAGCGAAAUCGAAAAGGACGGAGCGCAGUCAAACUUAGGCAACGCGUCGUGUCAGUGACAGUGUCAGUUGAUAGUUAUCAGGUGCACAACGGUGUAUAUAACAGCAACAUAAAUACAGAAAACAACAGAAAAGCACAAAAGCAGUGGCAAGGCAAGUGAAAGUGAACGUGUGUGUAGUGCUGGCAAAUGGCAAUGAAGUGUUGCAAAAUUAAGAUAUGAAGUAAUAUCGAAAAAAGCGCACAUAUGUGUUUGCUGUACAGUGUUAAAUACAUGGAUAACUGUGCAAGGCAAAAAGUGAAAGUGAAAGUGAAAGCAACGCAAUACAGGAAAGGCCAGAAAAAGCCCGAAAAAGUAGCUAACCACAAGGCUAACUGAAAUUUCAGAAAAAUUUAAGCACAAGAACGCCCGAAACUCGCUUCGCAGCACGCUCGAGUGUCCGUUCGUUUCCACUACUUCCAAUUUCGGGUGCUAAUACGUCAGGGUCCGUGGCCGCGUAUGCGUGUAUAAGUGUGUAUGCGUAUAUAUGCUUGCGUGUCAAGUAAAAUCAAUGAAAGCAAAAGUGAAAACGUGCUAUACAGCUAACUGCAACUGUGUACAUACAUAUGUGUGACGUGGGCAAUACCAAGUGAGUUGCCCCGAGGCUGCCGAGCAGGACUCUUGACCAGUUGAUAGUUUACACAGAUUGUUUUUGUUAACUUUGGGGAACGUUCCAAUGAAUUAUUUCGCUAUAAAAGUCGCUCAUUUGGCAAACACAAAUCAUUCCCAACACAGCGUCUCCGGAGAACUGAACACUUAAAAUAAAAAUGAAAUUCAUCACUUUGAUACUUUCGGCAUUAAUGGUAUUUGGCGUGGUUACCGCUCAAAUACCAACAUGUUACAAGCCUGGAGAAAAUCCUACUCCCGGUUGCGAACUCCAAGGAACAUGUGUAUUCACUCCAGGAAUUUCGGUGAUAGAUCGAACACAAGAAAGGAUCGACAAAUGUUUGAAAUCUGGAAGUAUAGUUGAAGAAUCAUGUAGUAACAUCCUUUACGGGGUACCCAAUUGCGUUACUGAGCUAUUUGGUACAGUUCCAGCUGUUGGAGCUUAGACCCGACUUGCUUUCGCACAAAAUUCGCACAAUGGAUCCGAUUCGAGAUACAACCGUACACCAAAAUAUUAAUUUAUACAAGUAUUUAGACCUUUUGUCGAGUUUUGAAAUUCGUAAAGAAUUUAUUCUAAUAUAACUACAAUUAAUUUGAUAUGUAUUUGUGACAUUAAAUAAAGUAUAACAAACUGCAA